This 283-nucleotide long non-coding RNA is filed under the name Setaria italica (foxtail millet). RNAcentral's name for it is "long non-coding RNA (SITA_LNC002003)". The record is from RNAcentral. Lineage: Eukaryota; Viridiplantae; Streptophyta; Magnoliopsida; Poales; Poaceae.
AAACAAUCAGAUCUUAUAUGAUCACAAAACUUAUACCAGCUAUACAAACUUGUUGGCCUAGAGAAGCAAGGCAUAAGACAAUAUGGAUACAACAGGACAAUGCUCCUUCUCAUCUACCAGUAGAUGAUGCAGAAUUUGCUGCAGCAGUAGCCCCAACAAGCCUUGAUAUACGCCUACUUAACCAGCCUGCUAAUUCGCCUGAUAUGAACUGCCUUGACCUUGGUUUCUUUGCUUCUCUUCAAUCAUUAACGGAUAGAACGACAUCUAGAAACAUGGAUGAGCU